AGCUUUACGCAGUGGCAGUAUCACAGCCAAUGAAGUGUAUCUGAGGUGCGAUUACUGCUAAUUGAAAAACUGUGUAUGGUGGG
This 83-nucleotide small nuclear RNA is filed under the name Octodon degus (degu). Its description in RNAcentral is "U4 spliceosomal RNA (ENSODEG00000025686.1)". The stretch from base 1 to 73 matches the Rfam family "U4 spliceosomal RNA". From Rfam's summary of the family: U4 small nuclear RNA (U4 snRNA) is a component of the major U2-dependent spliceosome. The record is from RNAcentral. Lineage: Eukaryota; Metazoa; Chordata; Mammalia; Rodentia; Octodontidae.